RNAcentral lists this ribosomal RNA (253 nucleotides) under uncultured bacterium. RNAcentral's name for it is "partial 16S ribosomal RNA". It matches the Rfam family "Bacterial small subunit ribosomal RNA", at positions 524 to 776 of the family's 1533-position model. The record is from RNAcentral.
UACGGAGGGUGCAAGCGUUAUCCGGAUUCACUGGGUUUAAAGGGUGCGUAGGCGGACAGGAAAGUCCGUGGUGAAAUCCUGCAGCUUAACUGCAGAACUGCCGUGGAUACUCUCUGUCUUGAAUAUCGUGGAGGUGAGCGGAAUAUGUCAUGUAGCGGUGAAAUGCAUAGAUAUUGUCAAGAACACCAAUUGCGAAGGCAGCUUACUAAAGUAUAACUGACGCUGAGGCACGAAAGUGCGGGGAUCAAACAGG